This 77-nucleotide transfer RNA is filed under the name Candidatus Babelota bacterium. Its description in RNAcentral is "tRNA-Arg". It matches the Rfam family "tRNA". Rfam says of the family: Transfer RNA (tRNA) molecules are approximately 80 nucleotides in length. Their secondary structure includes four short double-helical elements and three loops (D, anti-codon, and T loops). Further hydrogen bonds mediate the characteristic L-shaped molecular structure. tRNAs have two regions of fundamental functional importance: the anti-codon, which is responsible for specific mRNA codon recognition, and the 3' end, to which the tRNAs corresponding amino acid is attached (by aminoacyl-tRNA synthetases). tRNAs cope with the degeneracy of the genetic code in two manners: having more than one tRNA (with a specific anti-codon) for a particular amino acid; and 'wobble' base-pairing, i.e. permitting non-standard base-pairing at the 3rd anti-codon position. The record is from RNAcentral.
GCGCCUGUAGCUCAGUAGGAUAGAGCGACAGAUUCCUAAUCUGUAGGCCGCAGGUUCGACUCCUGCCAGGCGCACCA